UUGAAUUGAAGAGUUUGAUCAUGGCUCAGAUUGAACGCUGGCGGCAGGCUUAACACAUGCAAGUCGAACGGUAACAUAAAGAAGCUUGCUUCUUUGAUGACGAGUGGCGGACGGGUGAGUAAUGCUUGGGAAUCUAGCUUAUGGAGGGGGAUAACUACGGGAAACUGUAGCUAAUACCGCGUAGAAUCGAGAGAUGAAAGUGUGGGACCUUCGGGCCACAUGCCAUAGGAUGAGCCCAAGUGGGAUUAGGUAGUUGGUGAGGUAAAGGCUCACCAAGCCGACGAUCUCUAGCUGGUCUGAGA
RNAcentral lists this ribosomal RNA (302 nucleotides) under Parahaemophilus parainfluenzae. RNAcentral describes it as "Haemophilus parainfluenzae (human oral metagenome) partial 16S ribosomal RNA". It matches the Rfam family "Bacterial small subunit ribosomal RNA", at positions 1 to 297 of the family's 1533-position model. Lineage: Bacteria; Pseudomonadati; Pseudomonadota; Gammaproteobacteria; Pasteurellales; Pasteurellaceae. The record is from RNAcentral.